AGAGGAAUAGCUGGGUCAAAUGGCGGUUCCAUUCCCAGCUUUUCAAGGAAUCUCCUUAUUGCUUUCCAAAUUGGCUGCACUAAUUUGCGGUCCCACCAGCAAU
RNAcentral lists this microRNA precursor (103 nucleotides) under Marmota monax (woodchuck). The record is from RNAcentral. Lineage: Eukaryota; Metazoa; Chordata; Mammalia; Rodentia; Sciuridae.